GGUUGUGGCUCAGUGGUAGAGCGCUUGCCUAGUGGGUUCAAGGCCCUGGGUUCGAUCCUCAGCACCA
This 67-nucleotide transfer RNA is filed under the name Marmota monax (woodchuck). Its description in RNAcentral is "tRNA.Thr". The record is from RNAcentral. Lineage: Eukaryota; Metazoa; Chordata; Mammalia; Rodentia; Sciuridae.